This 440-nucleotide ribosomal RNA is filed under the name uncultured bacterium. RNAcentral describes it as "partial 16S ribosomal RNA". It matches the Rfam family "Bacterial small subunit ribosomal RNA", at positions 338 to 795 of the family's 1533-position model. The record is from RNAcentral.
CCUACGGGUGGCAGCAGUGGGGAAUAGUGGACAAUGGGGGAAACCCUGAUCCAGCGACGCCGCGUGAGUGAAGAAGUAUUUCGGUACGUAAAGCUCUAUCAGCAGGAAAGAAAAUGACGGUACCUGACGAAGAAGCACCGGCUAACUACGUGCCAGCAGCCGCGGUAAUACGUAGGGGGCAAGCGUUAUCCGGAUUUACUGGGGGAAAAGGGAGCGUAGACGGCAGCGCAAGUCUGGAGUGAAAUGCCGGGGCCCAACCCCGGAACUGCUCUGGAAACUGUGAAGCUCGAGUGCAGGAGAGGUAAGCGGAAUUCCUGGUGUAGCGGUGAAAUCCGUAGAUAUCAGGAGGAACACCGGCGGCGAAGGCGGCUUCCUGGACUGUACCUGACGUUGAGGCUCGACGGCGUGGGGAGCAAACAGGAUUAGAUACCCUAGUAGUC